ACGGAACAGCCAGAGCGGGGAAUGUGCUGAGCUAAGGUGUUCAGCAGGACUCAGCAUUAGGACAUGUGGAGGGAGAAGGUACCAAGUACUUCUAAGUCUUAGGAGGAAGACCAGAGGGUUCUAGACUAUUAGAGGAAAGCAAAAACUCAUGAAUAUGUCGAUUUCCUUUUGCCUGCAAGAUGUAGAACACUGGACUAUUUCUCCAGCACCAUGCCUGCCUGCAUGCUGCCAUGUUCCCCGCCAUGGAAGAUUGACCCUCUGAACUGAUAAUGACUGGAGAAAACAGCAAAGGAUGCCUCACAAGGGUGGAAACCUUGGGUGACAUUAUGCUCAAAUCAAAGCCUCACUCUUCUCCUGGUCAGCCCUGGACCCUCCCUGGCAUCAUCUGAGGAUGUGGGAUGUCAGAUAUCUACCAUCACCUGCCUUCCUUGGUGGCGUUCCAAUAAAAAGCAGUAACCGCC
RNAcentral lists this long non-coding RNA (461 nucleotides) under Cricetulus griseus (Chinese hamster). RNAcentral describes it as "lncRNA (ENSCGRG00015037730.1)". Lineage: Eukaryota; Metazoa; Chordata; Mammalia; Rodentia; Cricetidae. The record is from RNAcentral.